CCUACGGGGGGCUGCAGUGGGGAAUAUUGGACAAUGGGCGAAAGCCUGAUCCAGCCAUGCCGCGUGUGUGAAGAAGGCCUUCGGGUUGUAAAGCACUUUCAGUGGGGAAGAAGGCCUUGGGGCUAAUACCCUCGAGGAAGGACAUCACCCACAGAAGAAGCACCGGCUAACUCCGUGCCAGCAGCCGCGGUAAUACGGAGGGUGCGAGCGUUAAUCGGAAUUACUGGGCGUAAAGCGCGCGUAGGCGGUCUGAUAAGCCGGUUGUGAAAGCCCCGGGCUCAACCUGGGAACGGCAUCCGGAACUGUCAGGCUAGAGUGCAGGAGAGGAAGGUAGAAUUCCCGGUGUAGCGGUGAAAUGCGUAGAGAUCGGGAGGAAUACCAGUGGCGAAGGCGGCCUUCUGGACUGACACUGACGCUGAGGUGCGAAAGCGUGGGUAGCAAACAGGAUUAGAUACCCCAGUAGUC
Molecule: ribosomal RNA, 465 nt
Filed under: Vreelandella stevensii
Lineage: Bacteria; Pseudomonadati; Pseudomonadota; Gammaproteobacteria; Oceanospirillales; Halomonadaceae
Description: partial 16S ribosomal RNA
Rfam family: Bacterial small subunit ribosomal RNA
Source: RNAcentral